GUCAGAGCAGAUUCGAAAAACUUAGGAAUUUACUUAGUGUUAGAUCUCUUAGUGACUUAGAUUUAAAGGGGUUGUGUUAGAUAUGUAAAUCUAAGCCCAUAACGUUUUAACUGUCAUUUGACAGUAGGCUUUGUUUGUACAUAUAUACUGGUUUACGCAAUGAGAAAAAUAUCUCUCGUUCUCUUUAUCUCAGUUGUAUUCACUCAUUCUACCCGAUCUCUCUUUUCCCCUUGUUCACCUCACACGCCCUAUCAAUCCGCCACCUCAAGAUAUGCGCCUAGAUCUAGAAACACCUUUGCAACACCGGGUCGCACGUACCCCUCCGCCAUGUACAAUGCAACGAGAUCACCAC
RNAcentral lists this long non-coding RNA (352 nucleotides) under Vigna radiata. RNAcentral describes it as "long non-coding RNA (VRAD_LNC002161)". The record is from RNAcentral. Lineage: Eukaryota; Viridiplantae; Streptophyta; Magnoliopsida; Fabales; Fabaceae.